Non-coding RNA from Cydia splendana, 72 nucleotides. Lineage: Eukaryota; Metazoa; Arthropoda; Insecta; Lepidoptera; Tortricidae. The record is from the annotation of a RefSeq genome assembly.
GUCUCGGUAGCUCAAUUGGUAGAGCAACGGGCUGGUAUCCCGAAAUCGCAAGUUCGAGACUCGCCCGAGACG